CCUACGGGUGGCAGCAGUGAGGAAUAUUGGUCAAUGGACGCAAGUCUGAACCAGCCAUGCCGCGUGCAGGAAGACGGCUCUAUGAGUUGUAAACUGCUUUUGUACGAGGGUAAACGCAGAUACGCGUAUCUGUCUGAAAGUAUCGUACGAAUAAGGAUCGGCUAACUCCGUGCCAGCAGCCGCGGUAAUACGGAGGAUUCCAGCGUUAUCCGGAUUUAUUGGGUUUAAAGGGUGCGUAGGCGGUAGGAUAAGUUGGAGGUGAAAUCCGGAGGCUCAACUUCGGAAUUGCCUCUGAUACUGGUCUGCUAGAGAGUGGUUGCGGUAGGCGGAAUGUAUGGUGUAGCGGUGAAAUGCUUAGAGAUCAUACAGAACACCGAUUGCGAAGGCAGCUUACCAAGCUACUUCUGACGUUGAGGCACGAAAGCGUGGGGAGCGAACAGGAUUAGAUACCCUGGUAGUC
RNAcentral lists this ribosomal RNA (460 nucleotides) under uncultured bacterium. Its description in RNAcentral is "partial 16S ribosomal RNA". It matches the Rfam family "Bacterial small subunit ribosomal RNA", at positions 338 to 795 of the family's 1533-position model. The record is from RNAcentral.